GAUGAACGCUGGCGGCGUGCCUAAUACAUGCAAGUCGAGCGAACAGAUGAGGAGCUUGCUCCUCUGACGUUAGCGGCGGACGGGUGAGUAACACGUGGAUAACCUACCUAUAAGACUGGGAUAACUUCGGGAAACCGGAGCUAAUACCGUAUAAUAUAUUGAACCGCAUGGUUCAAUAGUGAAAGACGGUUUUGCUGUCACUUAUAGAUGGAUCCGCGCCGCAUUAGCUAGUUGGUAAGGUAACGGCUUACCAAGGCAACGAUGCGUAGCCGACCUGAGAGGGUGAUCGGCCACACUGGAACUGAGACACGGUCCAGACUCCUACGGGAGGCAGCAGUAGGGAAUCUUCCGCAAUGGGCGAAAGCCUGACGGAGCAACGCCGCGUGAGUGAUGAAGGUCUUCGGAUCGUAAAACUCUGUUAUUAGGGAAGAACAAAUGUGUAAGUAACUAUGCACGUCUUGACGGUACCUAAUCAGAAAGCAACGGCUAACUACGUG
RNAcentral lists this ribosomal RNA (497 nucleotides) under uncultured bacterium. RNAcentral's name for it is "partial 16S ribosomal RNA". It matches the Rfam family "Bacterial small subunit ribosomal RNA", at positions 28 to 507 of the family's 1533-position model. The record is from RNAcentral.